UACAGAGGCCUCGAGCGUUAGGCGGAAUCACUGGGCUUAAAGCGUGUGUAGGCGGACUUCUAAGUACCUUGUGAAAUCCCACGGCUCAACCGUGGAACUGCUCGGUAUACUGGUUGUCUUGAGCCAUCUAGGGGCGAGCGGAACAAGUGGUGGAGCGGUGAAAUGCGUAGAUAUCUGGAGGAAUACCGGUGGCGAAGGCGGCAUCCUGGACCAUAACUGACGCUGAGGCGCGAAAGCUAGGGGAGCAAACGGG
RNAcentral lists this ribosomal RNA (253 nucleotides) under uncultured bacterium. Its description in RNAcentral is "partial 16S ribosomal RNA". It matches the Rfam family "Bacterial small subunit ribosomal RNA", at positions 524 to 776 of the family's 1533-position model. The record is from RNAcentral.